UACGUAGGGUGCAAGCGUUGUCCGGAAUUAUUGGGCGUAAAGAGCUCGUAGGCGGCUCGUCGCGUCGGCUGUGAAAACCUGGGGCUCAACCCCGGGCCUGCAGCCGAUACGGGCGAGCUAGAAUUCGGUAGGGGAGACGUGGAAUUCCUGGUGUAGCGGUGAAAUGCGCAGAUAUCAGAGGAACACCGGUGGCGAAGGCGGGUCUCUGGGCCGAUAUUGACGCUGAGGAGCGAAAGCGUGGGGAGCGAACAGG
RNAcentral lists this ribosomal RNA (253 nucleotides) under uncultured bacterium. RNAcentral describes it as "partial 16S ribosomal RNA". It matches the Rfam family "Bacterial small subunit ribosomal RNA", at positions 524 to 776 of the family's 1533-position model. The record is from RNAcentral.